This is a long non-coding RNA of Ornithodoros turicata, 921 nucleotides long. RefSeq lists it as uncharacterized. NCBI's taxonomy places the organism in Eukaryota, Metazoa, Arthropoda, Arachnida, Ixodida, Argasidae. The record is from RefSeq and is a predicted model, not a curated record. The transcript has 2 exons.
CAUUGAAGACGAAGAAGAAUAGAAUAUCCGAGGUAAACCCAUCUCUAUCAGUCGCUGUACGCUCGUUCGCUAGAUGCUCCUGGGAGUUCUACUUGGAGUACCUCUUGUAUUGCUCCUGAGCAUUCCAACAAACGCCCUCCGUACUGGACACAAUGCUCUCCUAUGGUGUCCUCCUGGAGCUCUUCGUCCCGUUUGGUACACUCUUGGCGUCAUCUGUGUUGCCUCUCAUCCUCAGAAAGAUGGCAACUCUUAAAGGGUACACUCUGUACCUCACAAGUGCGAUAGACAAAAGCAUAAGUGUCACCGCUGGUAUGGCCCUCGCCCAUUGGUUUCUGCGCAUGAUGCCUUUCACGAGAGCAGUGAGUGCGCUCAUCAACCUCUCGCCGCUUUGCUGCGAUGGAGGGUUUCAACGUCGGCGCCUUCCCAAACGGCAAAUCCGGUCGCUAUACGUCCGCAAUCGUUCACCAGAUGCUCCUGGGAGUUCUGCUUGGUGUUUCAUCUCUGAGGACGAAUUUCAACGAACCACUGCUGGCGUUGUUCGCCUGCCUGUACGCUUGUUCGAUGCCGCUCGGAAUCUUAUGGGCAGAUACCGUGAAGUUCUGGGAUGCGCACAUCGAACUAGCAACGCAGAGAAGCUGGGCCAUGGUACUAUGUUGUGCAUCUGGAGCCUUUGCGUCGGCGUUAUUUCGAUACAUACUUCUUCCCGAAGUAACGGCGAAAAGGAAGAAGCGGAUAUAUCUAAUGGGAGCGGGUGUUUGGCUGUGGGUGAUAGUGUCGUGGCCUUUCUUCGACAUAUAACGUUUCAUGCUGCUUUGUAUUCACGCUUCCAUCAUAGGAGUCAGCAACGCUUUCUUUGUUACCGCACCGAAUAUGUAACAGUAGGUCGGGCCGACUAGAAUAUAGAUGCUGCUUGCGAAUGUA